GACGAACGCUGGCGGCGUGCUUAACACAUGCAAGUCGAACGGAAAGGCCCUGCUUUUGUGGGGUGCUCGAGUGGCGAACGGGUGAGUAACACGUGAGUAACCUGCCCUUGACUUUGGGAUAACUUCAGGAAACUGGGGCUAAUACCGGAUAGGAGCUCCUGCUGCAUGGUGGGGGUUGGAAAGUUUCGGCGGUUGGGGAUGGACUUGCGGCUUAUCAGCUUGUUGGUGGGGUAGUGGCUUACCAAGGCUUUGACGGGUAGCCGGCCUGGGAGGGUGACCGGCCACAUUGGGACUGGGAUGCGGCCCAGACUCCUACGGGAGGCAGCAGUGGAGAAUAUUGCACAAUGGGCGGCAGCCUGAUGCAGCAACGCCGCGUGCGGGAUGACGGCCUUCGGGGUGUAAACCGCUUUCGCCUGUGACGAAGCGUGAGUGACGGUAAUGGGUAAAGAAGCACCGGCUAACUACGUG
RNAcentral lists this ribosomal RNA (468 nucleotides) under uncultured bacterium. RNAcentral describes it as "partial 16S ribosomal RNA". It matches the Rfam family "Bacterial small subunit ribosomal RNA", at positions 28 to 507 of the family's 1533-position model. The record is from RNAcentral.